UGGGGAAUAUUGCACAAUGGGCGAAAGCCUGAUGCAGCAACGCCGCGUGAGUGAUGAAGGUCUUCGGAUUGUAAAGCUCUGUCUUUUGGGACGAUAAUGACGGUACCAAAGGGGAAGCCACGGCUAACUACGUGCCAGCAGCCGCGGUAAUACGUAGGUGGCGAGCGUUGUCCGGAUUUACUGGGCGUAAAGGGUGCGUAGGCGGAUGUUUAAGUGAGAUGUGAAAUACCCGGGCUUAACUUGGGUGCUGCAUUUCAAACUGGAUAUCUAGAGUGCAGGAGAGGAGAAUGGAAUUCCUAGUGUAGCGGUGAAAUGCGUAGAGAUUAGGAAGAACACCAGUGGCGAAGGCGAUUCUCUGGACUGUAACUGACGCUGAGGCACGAAAGCGUGGGUAGCAAACAGGAUUAGAUACCCUGGUAGUCCACGCCGUAAACGAUGAGUACUAGGUGUAGGAGGUAUCGACCCCUUCUGUGCCGCAGUAAACACAUUAAGUACUCCGCCUGGGAAGUACGAUCGCAA
Molecule: ribosomal RNA, 519 nt
Filed under: uncultured bacterium
Lineage: Bacteria
Description: partial 16S ribosomal RNA
Rfam family: Bacterial small subunit ribosomal RNA
Source: RNAcentral